This 460-nucleotide ribosomal RNA is filed under the name uncultured bacterium. RNAcentral describes it as "partial 16S ribosomal RNA". It matches the Rfam family "Bacterial small subunit ribosomal RNA", at positions 338 to 795 of the family's 1533-position model. The record is from RNAcentral.
CCUACGGGUGGCAGCAGUGAGGAAUAUUCGUCAAUGGACGAGAGUCUGAACCAGUCAAGUAGCGUGAAGGAUGACUGCCCUCUGGGUUGUAAACUUCUUUUAUAUGGGAAUAAAAUGUUCCACGUGUGGGAUUUUGUAUGCACCAUAUGAAUAAGGAUCGGCUCACUACGUGCCAGCAGCCGCGGUACUACGGGGGAUACGAGCGUUAUGCGGAUUUGUUGGGUUUAAAGGGAGCGUAGGUGGAUUGUUAUGUCAGUUGUGUAAGUUUGCGGCUCAACCGGAGAAGUGCAGUUGAAACUGGCAGUCUUGAGUGCAGUAGAGGAGAGCGGAAUUCGUGGUGUAGCGGUGAAAUGCGUAGAUAUAACGAAGAACGCCGAUUGCGAAGGCAGCUCUCUGGACUGUAACUGACGCUGAGGCUCGAAAGUGUGGGGAGCAAACAGGAUUAGAUACCCCAGUAGUC